GGGGUCAGUGGUGGAAGUGAGACCGAAAUAGACUCUGAAGUAAUAUCUGGACUUUGAAAUUGCGCCAACCCUGAGACCAAAAUUUGGAAGGUGGCCCUGAGCAGCAGCUGAAGGGAAGUGGGAGGCAGCUAUUCCCAACCCCAGAACCUUUGCUGUCUUGGAACAGAUCACCACUGCAAGAGGGGAAGUUGCUACUGUGAUGAAUUCUGCCAUGUGGUACCAGACUGCUACCCAGACCACAGUGUCCUCUGCAACCCUCGUCAAAGGUGCCUACAUGUUCCUUCUAGCUUUGUUUCCCUGAUGUUCCUUGCCACCUGCUACUCCUCUCUGAGCUACUUUUCCAGCUUCUCAGAUGACCAAGAUGGUGCUGCAGAUGGUGCUGAGGAUGGAGAACCCACCAAGCCC
Molecule: long non-coding RNA, 405 nt
Filed under: Pan troglodytes (chimpanzee)
Lineage: Eukaryota; Metazoa; Chordata; Mammalia; Primates; Hominidae
Description: lincRNA
Source: RNAcentral